Molecule: ribosomal RNA, 350 nt
Filed under: uncultured Acidobacteriota bacterium
Lineage: Bacteria; Pseudomonadati; Acidobacteriota
Description: bacterial SSU rRNA
Rfam family: Bacterial small subunit ribosomal RNA
Source: RNAcentral
CCGGGUGAGUAACACGUGACUAACCUACCCUUGAGUGGGGAAUAACCUUCCGAAAGGAGGGCUAAUACCGCAUAACAUCGCGAGGCGAGAUUCCUUGUGAUCAAAGGAGCAAUUCGCUUAAGGAGGGGCUCGCGGCUGAUUAGCUAGUUGGUGAGGUAACGGCUCACCAAGGCGAUGAUCAGUAUCCGGCCUGAGAGGGCGCACGGACACACUGGAACUGAAACACGGUCCAGACUCCUACGGGAGGCAGCAGUGGGGAAUUUUGCGCAAUGGGGGAAACCCUGACGCAGCAACGCCGCGUGGAGGAUGAAGGUCUUUGGAUUGUAAACUCCUGUUGCCCGGGACGAAUC